This 72-nucleotide transfer RNA is filed under the name Solirubrobacter pauli. It matches the Rfam family "tRNA". Rfam says of the family: Transfer RNA (tRNA) molecules are approximately 80 nucleotides in length. Their secondary structure includes four short double-helical elements and three loops (D, anti-codon, and T loops). The record is from Rfam by way of RNAcentral. Lineage: Bacteria; Bacillati; Actinomycetota; Thermoleophilia; Solirubrobacterales; Solirubrobacteraceae.
GCCCCCAUGGUGUAGCGGUUAGCACGGCAGCCUUUCACGCUGCUAGCACGGGUUCGAUUCCCGUUGGGGGUA